This 350-nucleotide ribosomal RNA is filed under the name uncultured Acidobacteriota bacterium. RNAcentral describes it as "bacterial SSU rRNA". It matches the Rfam family "Bacterial small subunit ribosomal RNA", at positions 29 to 407 of the family's 1533-position model. The record is from RNAcentral. Lineage: Bacteria; Pseudomonadati; Acidobacteriota.
AACGAACGCUGGCGGCGGGCCUCAAACAUGCAAGUCUAGGGGGUGUAGCAAUACAUCACCGGCGGACGGGUGCGUAACGCGUGGGAAUAUACCUAUUGGUGCGGAACAACUGAGGGAAACUUCAGCUAAUACCGAAUGUGCCCUUACGGGGAAAGAUUUAUCGCCAAUGGAUUAGCCCGCGUCCGAUCAACUANUUGGUGAGGGGGCCCCCAGCAAUGCUCCGAUCGGUAGCAGUUCUGAGAGGAAGAUCAGCCAGAUUGGUACUGAGAGAGCGCGCACAGUCCCUACUGGACGCGGGAACCCGGCAAACCAAGACAACACGCCAGGCCGAAUCCCCCCCCGCGAGUCCC